CACUCGAAUGAUACCUAUUCCUCAUAUAUACACGAGUACGGGAAUUCUAAAAUCUGAACAAAAUGAUUUAAUUUUUAUUCUGUUUCAGGGUACCCAUUCUUCGGUAUAUUCUUCAUGAUGGCAACAUCUGGGGUUUGUGGCUGUGGGUGUAAACUGAAGCUUGGCACUGGCAGGAAACUGAUGCAUAGAGUUUGGUAGAAGAUUAGAAAAAGCCAAUGUACAUGACCAAGCCACUUCUUGAUUGAAGAAGAUAGCUUGCAAAGAUUACGACUAAGCUUCUAGCUAGGAGGUGAUAGUUAGUAAAAUUAUCAGAUCAUCUUUUAUGAUGUUGUACCGUGUUGUGUAGUACUGAAGUGGGAAUAGUCAAGUGAAACGAAGAUUGCUUGUAAUGCAUGAACAUUUGUGAAUGUACCAGUUAGAUCAACUUUGUACUAUACAUUGGUCUGCUUA
Lolium rigidum is the source of this 450-nucleotide long non-coding RNA. RefSeq lists it as uncharacterized. The transcript has 2 exons. The record is from RefSeq and is a predicted model, not a curated record. NCBI's taxonomy places the organism in Eukaryota, Viridiplantae, Streptophyta, Magnoliopsida, Poales, Poaceae.